Molecule: transfer RNA, 76 nt
Filed under: Clostridiales bacterium
Lineage: Bacteria; Bacillati; Bacillota; Clostridia; Eubacteriales
Description: tRNA-Gln
Rfam family: tRNA
About the family: Transfer RNA (tRNA) molecules are approximately 80 nucleotides in length. Their secondary structure includes four short double-helical elements and three loops (D, anti-codon, and T loops).
Source: RNAcentral
UGCCCAGUAGCCAAGCGGUAAGGCAACGGACUUUGACUCCGUCAUCCCGUUGGUUCAAAUCCAGCCUGGGCAACCA